This 473-nucleotide ribosomal RNA is filed under the name uncultured Syntrophus sp. RNAcentral describes it as "bacterial SSU rRNA". It matches the Rfam family "Bacterial small subunit ribosomal RNA", at positions 916 to 1381 of the family's 1533-position model. Lineage: Bacteria; Pseudomonadati; Thermodesulfobacteriota; Syntrophia; Syntrophales; Syntrophaceae. The record is from RNAcentral.
UUAGACGGGGCCCGCACAAGCGGUGGAGCAUGUGGUUUAAUUCGAUGCAACGCGAAGAACCUUACCUGGGCUUGACAUCCCGAGAAUCCCCUGGAAACAGGGGAGUGCCUUUCGGGGAACUCGGAGACAGGUGCUGCAUGGCUGUCGUCAGCUCGUGUCGUGAGAUGUUGGGUUAAGUCCCGCAACGAGCGCAACCCUUGUCUUUAAUUGCCAGCAUUCAGUUGGGCACUUUAAAGAGACUGCCGGUGUUAAGCCGGAGGAAGGUGGGGAUGACGUCAAGUCCUCAUGGCCUUUAUGCCCAGGGCUACACACGUGCUACAAUGGGUGGUACAAAGAGAUGCCAACUCGCGAGAGCGCGCCAAUCUCAGAAAGCCAUCCUCAGUUCGGAUUGGAGUCUGCAACUCGACUCCAUGAAGUUGGAAUCGCUAGUAAUCGCGGAUCAGCACGCCGCGGUGAAUACGUUCCCGGGCCUU